UACGGAGGAUGCAAGCGUUAUCCGGAUUCAUUGGGUUUAAAGGGUGCGUAGGCGGAAUAAUAAGUCAACGGUGAAAGCUUACGGCUUAACUGUAGAAGUGCCGUUGAUACUGUUAUUCUUGAGUAAAGUUGAGGUGGCUGGAAUGUGUAAUGUAGCGGUGAAAUGCUUAGAUAUUACACAGAACACCGAUUGCGAAGGCAAGUCACUAAGCUUUUACUGACGCUGAGGCACGAAAGCGUGGGGAGCAAAC
Molecule: ribosomal RNA, 250 nt
Filed under: uncultured bacterium
Lineage: Bacteria
Description: partial 16S ribosomal RNA
Rfam family: Bacterial small subunit ribosomal RNA
Source: RNAcentral